UUAGAUACAGCUAAGUUUCUGCAGUUCCAGCAGUUCCUGCAAUUCCAGCAGUUACUGCAAUUCUAGCAUUUCCUGAAAUUCCAGCAUUUCCUGAAAUUCCAGCAGUUCCUGCAAGUUCCAGCAGAUCCUGCACUCACAGCAGCAUGGACUUACCUGGUUUCCAAUGCUCUGUACACACUAAUCUGUACUUCUGAACCGAAAGUGAAAAUGCAGUUUCUGAAAAUGCAGUUUCUUGUGCCAUGGUUGCUUACAGAUGGGUGGAGCCAGUGAAAUGGCUUUGCUUUUUUUUUUUUCUGAGAUCCCAUUGACUUCUGCAUUUUCUGUGGAAGAGGAGCUGAAUGAAUUGGGAUCUGGCAAGGCUGCACAGGCACUUGGAGAAGGGAAGAGGCAUGAAGGCUUCCUUGGACACAAAGAGCUUCUGAGGGAGAAGAGGAGAAGCCUGCCCUGACACUGUGGAGGAUCUGGGAGAGAGCCUCCCAAGCAGCCCCAUGGAUUCUCCUCACCUCCUGCUCUUGGGUUUCCUGCUCCUGGCUCUUGCUGCUCCCCAUCCAAGUAUUGCCGUGUCUAAUGCUGGCCCUGCUAAGGGGACACAAGGCAGCACAAUUAUGACAGUCCACUACUGUAAGCACUGUAACGGAUGCACGGCCGAAGAUGGGAGUAUCAAUUUAGAAAACUUCAGCAUAAUCGCUGAAAUACCAAACAAGGCAAAUACUAUUCAAACAGCUGAGUUGGAGACCAACAAGUCACACAUCACUGUUUGCUUUCAGCAAGCAAGUUCCUCUCUUGAAGGAUUUUAUGGCAUCUGGAACAAAACUGCUUCAGCAAAAGUCUGGUGCGGCAUCCUGAAUUCUGGAGAAAAUGGAGGAGGUAACAUCAGUACUGAGGACAAGAAAGUUUGCUGUGAAGCAGAGGCAAUUCCCUGGCAACACAACCCUAACCUGACGUGCUACGUUCAGAAAUCACAUCCAAAACACACUGCACUGCCAAUUGCUCUUCCUGGCAAUCCUGAAUUUCUCACCAGCAAAAAGAACAGCCUUGGCAUCUUGUUGACAUUCCUGUUUCUUGGGGUUUGUGCAGGAUGGGGCACCAUGUUUUACUUCUUGCGGCUGCGGCGUCGCCAAGCUUCUAAGCAAGAGAGACAGGCUUCUGACAGAGAAAAGCUCACACAUCCUUGAUAACCACCUACAAGGGAGAAAACCCCUCUGCCAGCAGCAUACUUCUCCUUGCUCAUGAUGUACAGCAAACAGCUGAACACAGACUGAUUUUCCAUGGGAACUCCUGCCCUUGUAUUCCCAAAUAGUCCUGUUUUCACAAAAGUACCUUCGCCACAUCCACACACACAAAAGUACCACACCACAUCCCCUGACUCUUGUCCAGCUCCAGGCCUGUGUGAGCAGCACAAGCAGCACCAGGAGCACCCAUCCUCUCCUUGGCUUGGCUGCAGACAGCAGGCACCCCAGGGUGUGUGACUGACUCAGCAGCACUGAAACCAGCUGAAUUCCCUCUGUGACAAAGUGGGAACAGCUCUGAAAUGCUUCCCAUGCCCUCUGCAUGGCUUUCACUUGGUAAUGCCACAGCAGCACCCAGGUGUCUGUAUUGUUUGAAUUUUCAGGUCAUCUCUGCAUCCACCAAAGCCUUUUGCACCACAAGCUGGCUGGUAGGUUGAAUUGGAAGAGUUUGGAAGAGAUAUUUGAUUUUGCCCCCACCUGCAGGCUGAGGACAUCUCUGAGUGUUUGUUCCAGUGCAGGGGUGGGUGGGAGGCUGUGUCCAGCUCCCUCAGGAAUGGCAUUGGGUCACAGAGGCCUUGUUCACCCCAGGCUGAGCAGAACUCUGGUAUCAAUCCUCCUGACAAAUGAGGCAAGUUUAGACAGUGUGAGAUGAGUACAGCCCCUCAGGAAUCCCACUGGGCACUUGGUAUCCUUAAAUCAUUCCUCAUUCCCACCUGAUUUGAAUAAAUCCUCAGCUUUUGCAUUGGUUCUAAUUUACAAUCAGGACUGUUGAGCAAAAAUCAGUGGCAGCACAAGGGGAGAAGCAAAUCCCUAAAGCAAUGUGAAUGCUUGUUGAAUCACUGUUCUUUUGUCACACAAGCACACACACAGUUCUUGUUUCAUUUCUGCUUUGAUUGGCUGGAUUUUGUUUCUUGCUUGUUUUUUCCUCAAUGUGUCUUAACCAUCCAGUCAGCAGCAGAGUGAACCUUGCCAACAAACUCUCUUGUGCUGGUGCUCAAUAUCAAAUCUGCAUUUUACUGAUCCCCUUGGUGGUAAUGUUUUGAGAUCUCCAACACUUUGAACAGGCGUUUCCCAUUUGAUUUGAUCCCUCUGUUCCUUGCUAUCCAUUGUAAAAAUGCUUCUUGCUCAGUUUCUUUGGUUAUUGGGGUCGUUGGAGAGCUCUGAGGAUCUCAUUAUACAUUUGUAUGCCUUUGUUUCUCACUGUAGACUGGACUUAUACCUUCUGCAAUCCUCUUUCAGAGAAUCUGUAUUAUCCAGUUUGUUGAUGUUAUUAAUGCUUUUUCCUUGAUGUUAUUAAAUG
Passer domesticus (house sparrow) is the source of this 2529-nucleotide long non-coding RNA. RefSeq lists it as uncharacterized. Lineage: Eukaryota; Metazoa; Chordata; Aves; Passeriformes; Passeridae. The record is from RefSeq and is a predicted model, not a curated record. The transcript is spliced from 6 exons.